GUAAGGAGGCUGCCGUCUCUAGUCAAGCACUAAGACUUCGGAGUAUGAGUAAGAACUCCACUGAGCCUGCUGGUGUAAUUAAAGGUUUUUCUCCACCUUUUUGAGUGACCUUUGGGUUCUCGAGUCUUCAAACUGAGGUAGCUGGGAUGCUGAGCUGUAACACUCAGCUGUGCCUCAGAGCUGUAACGCUUGGGUAUAGCACCGAGCUUUUCUGCUUUGCCUCAAGUCAGUCUGGACAAGAGUCAAGAAGGCCAACACAAUUUUAUCUAAAAGUGUGAUAAGGAAGCUUAGAAGAUGGAGUUUUGAAGUCAUUUCAUGUAGAUGGUCAUUAAAGCCCUGAACAGGUGAACAUGAAAGAGAACAUAGAGGAGAAGAGCCCAGUGAUGGAAAAGGUUGGCCAAGAGACACAGCAAAGUGGAUAUGAAAGAAUAGACAACAUAAAAUGACUAAAAUACACACAUUGGUUAUUUCAGGAAUCACUCACCUACUCUGGAGUCAAGGAUUAAAAACUAUCACAAUAUCAACCUGUGGAUGGAUUUUAAUAAGG
This 547-nucleotide long non-coding RNA is filed under the name Heterocephalus glaber (naked mole-rat). RNAcentral describes it as "lncRNA (ENSHGLG00100026696.2)". Lineage: Eukaryota; Metazoa; Chordata; Mammalia; Rodentia; Bathyergidae. The record is from RNAcentral.